Maniola jurtina (meadow brown) is the source of this 756-nucleotide long non-coding RNA. RefSeq lists it as uncharacterized. The transcript has 3 exons. The record is from RefSeq and is a predicted model, not a curated record. NCBI's taxonomy places the organism in Eukaryota, Metazoa, Arthropoda, Insecta, Lepidoptera, Nymphalidae.
UUCCUGUUUUUAAAAGAAUUGAAAACUGACCCCGAGAAAAAAGCUCGUCUCAAUUUCAAUAAUUCACGAGAGAUUUGUGGAGUUAGUAGAGCGACCGUGGAUCGAAUAGAAACUGAAGUAUCACACGCAGGCAACCCGAAUAUACCAAGAGCAAAUGUUAAGAAGACAGCAACUGUCACUGAUCUAGAUAGCUUUGAUGUCAGCGUACUAAAAAGAACCAUUGAUUCAUUUUAUGACAACGGGGAAUAUCCAUCGGUGGCAAUAAUUCUGGAAAAAUACCAAGAAAAGAUGAGAAAAAUUUAGACAAAGGUCGGCUGCAAGUUUAAAAAAAUGCACAACCUCUGAUAAUUAACCUACAGGAAGAUGACACAGAUGGGGAAGGUACGGAUGAGGAUUUUUGAAGAACUCAGAAAUAUCCCUAGAAAAGAUAAAAAUGGCCCUUUUCAGGGCCACAUUACGAUCUAUACAGUUUCUCUAUGAUUACGUCGACACAAACAUUUUAUCGUAACUAUAAAUUAAAGACUUUUAUUUCAGAUAGCGAAAAAUUAUUCCUAUAAAUACUUAACAUAAUUUAGCAUAUGGAUCGUACCUAUCCCGUUAUCGAUAUGCACCUCUACAGUUCUUACGCGCAUCACUACACACCUACCACACCUCUCCAUAAGACCUGUAAGUGCGAGCGAGACAGACAGAUAAAUAUGAUUUACGACCCUAAGCCUCAGUUAAAAAUGCGUCGACUAUAGUGCAUCGGCAAGAGCA